This 444-nucleotide ribosomal RNA is filed under the name uncultured bacterium. RNAcentral's name for it is "bacterial SSU rRNA". It matches the Rfam family "Bacterial small subunit ribosomal RNA", at positions 28 to 480 of the family's 1533-position model. The record is from RNAcentral.
GACGAACGCUGGCGGCGCGCUUAACACAUGCAAGUCGAGCGAGAACCAGGCCUUCGGGCCUGGGGAAAGCGGCGAACGGGUGAGUAACACGUGGGUAACCCACCCUUGGUACCGGGAUAGCCCGAGGAAACUCGGAUUAAUACCGGAUGGCCCAACAGCUUUUCGGAGCGGUUGGAAAAGGUAGCUUCGGCCUCCGACCAAGGACGGGCCCGCGGCGGAUUAGCUUGUUGGUGAGGUAACGGCCCACCAAGGCGACGAUCCGUAGCNGGUCUGAGAGGACGAUCAGCCACACUGGGACUGAGACACGGCCCAGACUCCUACGGGAGGCAGCAGUGGGGAAUCUUGCGCAAUGGGCGAAAGCCUGACGCAGCGACGCCGCGUGGGGGACGAAGCCCCUUCGGGGUGUAAACCACUGUCAGGGGACAGAAAGUUCUGAUCGUCCCC